RNAcentral lists this ribosomal RNA (78 nucleotides) under Escherichia coli. Its description in RNAcentral is "partial 16S ribosomal RNA". The record is from RNAcentral. Lineage: Bacteria; Pseudomonadati; Pseudomonadota; Gammaproteobacteria; Enterobacterales; Enterobacteriaceae.
CUUCAAUUUAAAAGUUUGAUCAUGGCUCAGAUUGAACGCUGGCGGCAGGCCUAACACAUGCAAGUCGAACGGUAACAG